This 240-nucleotide unclassified non-coding RNA is filed under the name soil metagenome. Its description in RNAcentral is "partial contains 5.8S ribosomal RNA, internal transcribed spacer 2, and large subunit ribosomal RNA". The record is from RNAcentral.
AACAUCGCGCACCUGCGGGAACCUGCGGAGGGAUCAUUAAUGAUUGGUGGCUGUUGCUGACUAGUGUUUCUAGUAUGUGCACGCCACACCUUCAAUCCCACUUACACCUGUGCACCUUCUGUAACAGAUCUAUGUGGAUACGGAGAUGUGAAAGUUUGCGCUCUCCUACUCUGUUGAAGCAGUCUACUACGUUUUUUUACACACACACACACAAUAGUCAUUGAAUGUAUUUUUUAUUCU